AUUAAUCAUAAGCAUCCUAAAAAUUUAGUUAUUAUUAUAUUGUUUACAUAUACAAUGGGUAGUAAUAAUAGUGGUACUAAGAAAAAUUUAACUAACUACCCACCGUAUAAUGUACAACAUGCGCAGUUAAAUGCUACUUCACUAACUUAUAAGAAAUUGUGUUUUUUGUGGCUUUUCUUUUUUUUAUUACUAAAUAGUAUAAUACCAUUUGAAUCACAAAAUGACAAUAAAAAUGGCAGAAUUAUAAGUGAGCUCGAUAAAAAUGACAACAAACAAGAAGUGGUAACAGAGCUAAACAAUACAGAUUUGAAUAAGGUUGAUGAUGUAAGUGAAAACCAUGAUAAAAAAAGAUAGUAAUAAUGGAAGUAAAAAUAAUGAACUUAUUGUGCCUGUUCAGGAUGAAGUGUUAUCUGAUAACAUUUAUACAGAACCAAAAGAAAAUGAAAAUAGUGAUAUAAACCUAAACGAUAAUGUUAACAGCGCAAGUAGUUUUAGUGAAAUGCAUCAACAAAUAUUACAAGACAUAAAAGAAAAAUGCCCUGGAAAUGAAAAUAAGCCUUCAAAUAAUAAAAAUACACACAUGCAUAAACAAUUGCAUGAUCAAAAUAAUAAUAGGAUUGCUCAUAACAUUGAAAAAAAAACGCAUCAAACAUUAAACACUGGUAAUGUUAAUAAAAAUGAAAGUAACAUAAGAGGUGAAAAAAACAGUGACGAUACAACACAGCAUGUAAAUAAAAAUAUU
Molecule: long non-coding RNA, 742 nt
Organism: Piliocolobus tephrosceles (Ugandan red Colobus)
Lineage: Eukaryota; Metazoa; Chordata; Mammalia; Primates; Cercopithecidae
Exons: 2
Source: RefSeq, a predicted model, not a curated record